CUACGGGUGGCACCAGUGGGGAAUAUUGCACAAUGGGGGAAACCCUGAUGCAGCAACGCCGCGUGAGCGAUGAAGGUCUUCGGAUCGUAAAGCUCUGUCUUUAGGGAUGAUAAUGACAGUACCUAAGGAGGAAGCCACGGCUAACUACGUGCCAGCAGCCGCGGUAAUACGUAGGUGGCAAGCGUUAUCCGGAAUUAUUGGGCGUAAAGGGAGCGUAGGCGGAUAUUUAAGUGGGAUGUGAAAUACAUGAGCUCAACUCGUGUGCUGCAUUCCAAACUGGAUGUCUAGAGUGCAGGAGAGGAGAGUGGAAUUCCUAGUGUAGCGGUGAAAUGCGUAGAGAUUAGGAAGAACACCAGUGGCGAAGGCGACUCUCUGGACUGUAACUGACGCUGAGGCUCGAAAGCGUGGGGAGCGAACAGGAUUAGAUACCCUGGUAGUC
Molecule: ribosomal RNA, 439 nt
Filed under: uncultured bacterium
Lineage: Bacteria
Description: partial 16S ribosomal RNA
Rfam family: Bacterial small subunit ribosomal RNA
Source: RNAcentral